AUUGAACGCUGGCGGAAUGCUUUACACAUGCAAGUCGAACGGCAGCACGGGGCAACCUGGUGGCGAGUGGCGAACGGGUGAGUAAUACAUCGGAACGUGCCCAAUCGUGGGGGAUAACGUAGCGAAAGUUACGCUAAUACCGCAUACGAUCUACGGAUGAAAGCGGGGGAUCGCAAGACCUCGCGCGAAUGGAGCGGCCGAUGUCAGAUUAGGUAGUUGGUGGGGUAAAGGCUCACCAAGCCAACGAUCUGUAGCUGGUCUGAGAGGACGACCAGCCACACUGGAACUGAGACACGGUCCAGACUCCUACGGGAGGCAGCAGUGGGGAAUUUUGGACAAUGGGCGCAAGCCUGAUCCAGCCAUUCCGCGUGCAGGAUGAAGGCCUCGGUGUAAGACUCUUUCAUCCGGAAGAAACGACACGGGUUAAUAACCUAGUAGUGGAUGACGGUACCGGAAGAAGAAG
Molecule: ribosomal RNA, 463 nt
Filed under: uncultured bacterium
Lineage: Bacteria
Description: bacterial SSU rRNA
Rfam family: Bacterial small subunit ribosomal RNA
Source: RNAcentral